GACGAACGCUGGCGGCGUGCCUAAUACAUGCAAGUCGAACGCUUCUUUCCUCCCGAGUGCUUGCACUCAAUUGGAAAGAGGAGUGGCGGACGGGUGAGUAACACGUGGGUAACCUACCCAUCAGAGGGGGAUAACACUUGGAAACAGGUGCUAAUACCGCAUAACAGUUUAUGCCGCAUGGCAUAAGAGUGAAAGGCGCUUUCGGGUGUCGUCGAUGGAUGGACCCGCGGUGCAUUAGCUAGUUGGUGAGGUAACGGCUCACCAAGGCCACGAUGCAUAGCCGACCUGAGAGGGUGAUCGGCCACACUGGAACUGAGACACGGCCCAGACUCCUACGGGAGGCAGCAGUAGGGAAUCUUCGGCAAUGGACGAAAGCCUGACCGAGCAACGCCGCGUGAGUGAAGAAGGUUUUCGGAUCGUAAAACUCUGUUGUUAGAGAAGAACAAGGACGUUAGUAACUGAACGUCCCCUGACGGUAUCUAACCAGAAAGCCACGGCUAACUACGUG
This 508-nucleotide ribosomal RNA is filed under the name uncultured bacterium. RNAcentral describes it as "partial 16S ribosomal RNA". It matches the Rfam family "Bacterial small subunit ribosomal RNA", at positions 28 to 507 of the family's 1533-position model. The record is from RNAcentral.